GGCCGUAGCAAUACGGCAGUGGCGGACGGGUGAGUAAUGAAUCGCUAAUGUACCCCGGACUCUGGGAUGGCCGGUCGAAAGGCCGGGUAAUACCAGAUGAUAUAUCCCGAUCGCAUGGUUGGGAUCUCAAAGGUCAGCCGGUCUGGGAGCAGGCGAUUUCGUAUCAGGUAGUUGGUGAGGUAACGGCUCACCAAGCCGACGACGCGUAGCUGGUCUGAGAGGACGGCCAGCCACAUUGGGACUGAGACACUGCCCAGACUCCUACGGGGGGCUGCAGUAACGAAUCUUCCGCAAUGCACGCAAGUGUGACGGAGCGACGCCGCGUGGAGGUUAAGUCCUUCGGGAUGUAAACUCCUGUCAGGGGUUACCAAGUUCUGAGGAGCCCCAGAGGAAGGCACGGCUAACUCUGUGCCAGCAGCCGCGGUAAUACAGAGGUGCCGAGCGUUAGGCGGAAUCACUGGGCUUAAAGCGCGCGUAGGCGGAUGUUUAAGUGUCUUGUGAAAUCCCACGGCUCAACCGUGGAACUGCUGGGCAUACUGGACAUCUUGAGGCACUCAGGGGCGAGCGGAACAAGUGGUGGAGCGGUGAAAUGCGUAGAUAUCACUUGGAACGCCAAUGGUGAAGACAGCUCGCUGGGGGUGUCCUGACGCUGAGGCGCGAAAGCCAGGGGAGCGAACGGGAUUAGAUACCCCGGUAGUCCUGGCCCUAAACGAUGUCCACUAGAUCAUGGCGGCUCUGACGUCGUCAUGGUCGGAGCAAAAGUGUUAAGUGGACCGCCUGGGAAGUACGGUCGCAAGGCUAAAACUCAAAGGAAUUGAC
Molecule: ribosomal RNA, 819 nt
Filed under: uncultured Aquificia bacterium
Lineage: Bacteria; Pseudomonadati; Aquificota; Aquificia
Description: bacterial SSU rRNA
Rfam family: Bacterial small subunit ribosomal RNA
Source: RNAcentral